Molecule: ribosomal RNA, 448 nt
Filed under: uncultured bacterium
Lineage: Bacteria
Description: bacterial SSU rRNA
Rfam family: Bacterial small subunit ribosomal RNA
Source: RNAcentral
UCGGGAAUUUUGGGCAAUGGGCGAAAGCCUGACCCAGCAACGCCGCGUGAAGGAUGAAGUAUUUCGGUAUGUAAACUUCGUAAGAAUAGGAAGAAUAAAUGACGGUACUAUUUGUAAGGUCCGGCUAACUACGUGCCAGCAGCCGCGGUAAUACGUAGGGACCAAGCGUUGUUCGGAUUUACUGGGCGUAAAGGGCGCGUAGGCGGCAAUUCAAGUCAUCUGUGAAAUCUCCGGGCUUAACUCGGAACGGUCAGAUGAUACUGCUUUGCUAGAGUGCAGAAGGGGCAAUCGGAAUUCUUGGUGUAGCGGUGAAAUGCGUAGAUAUCAAGAGGAACACCUGAGGUGAAGACGGGUUGCUGGGCUGACACUGACGCUGAGGCGCGAAAGCCAGGGGAGCAAACGGGGAUUAGAUACCCAAGUAGUCCCUGAGCGGGCUGGCAAGGCGCAU